Molecule: ribosomal RNA, 441 nt
Filed under: uncultured bacterium
Lineage: Bacteria
Description: partial 16S ribosomal RNA
Rfam family: Bacterial small subunit ribosomal RNA
Source: RNAcentral
CCUCGGGCGGCAGCAGUGGGGAAUAUUGGGCAAUGGACGCAAGUCUGACCCAGCAACGCCGAGUGAAGGAAGAAGGCUUUCGGGUUGUAAACUUCUUUUAAGGGGGAAGAGGAGAAGACGGUACCCCUUGAAUAAGCCACGGCUAACUACGUGCCAGCAGCCGCGGUAAUACGUAGGUGGCAAGCGUUGUCCGGAUUUACUGGGUGUAAAGGGCGUGCAGCCGGGCCGACAAGUCAGAUGUGAAAUCCGCGGGCUUAACCCGCGAACUGCAUUUGAAACUAUAGGUCUUGAGUGCCGGAGAGGAAAUCGGAAUUCCUUGUGUAGCGGGGAAAGGCGAAGAUAUAAGGAAGAACACCAGUGGCGAGGGCGGAUUACUGGACGGUAACUGAGGGUGGGGCGCGAAAGCGUGGGGAGCAAACAGGAUGAGAUACCCUGGUAGUC